This 1635-nucleotide ribosomal RNA is filed under the name Salmonella enterica subsp. enterica serovar Enteritidis. Its description in RNAcentral is "partial 23S ribosomal RNA". It matches the Rfam family "Bacterial large subunit ribosomal RNA", at positions 1252 to 2865 of the family's 2925-position model. Lineage: Bacteria; Pseudomonadati; Pseudomonadota; Gammaproteobacteria; Enterobacterales; Enterobacteriaceae. The record is from RNAcentral.
GAAGGUGUGUCGUGAGGCAUGCUGGAGGUAUCAGAAGUGCGAAUGCUGACAUAAGUAACGAUAAAGCGGGUGAAAAGCCCGCUCGCCGGAAGACCAAGGGUUCCUGUCCAACGUUAAUCGGGGCAGGGUGAGUCGACCCCUAAGGCGAGGCCGAAAGGCGUAGUCGAUGGGAAACGGGUUAAUAUUCCCGUACUUGGUGUUACUGCGAAGGGGGGACGGAGAAGGCUAUGUUGGCCGGGCGACGGUUGUCCCGGUUUAAGCGUGUAGGUGUGUGUUCCAGGUAAAUCCGGUUCACUUUAACACUGAGGCGUGACGACGAGGCACUACGGUGCUGAAGCAACAAAUGCCCUGCUUCCAGGAAAAGCCUCUAAGCAUCAGGUAACAUCAAAUCGUACCCCAAACCGACACAGGUGGUCAGGUAGAGAAUACCAAGGCGCUUGAGAGAACUCGGGUGAAGGAACUAGGCAAAAUGGUGCCGUAACUUCGGGAGAAGGCACGCUGACACGUAGGUGAAGUGAUUUACUCAUGGAGCUGAAGUCAGUCGAAGAUACCAGCUGGCUGCAACUGUUUAUUAAAAACACAGCACUGUGCAAACACGAAAGUGGACGUAUACGGUGUGACGCCUGCCCGGUGCCGGAAGGUUAAUUGAUGGGGUCAGCGCAAGCGAAGCUCCUGAUCGAAGCCCCGGUAAACGGCGGCCGUAACUAUAACGGUCCUAAGGUAGCGAAAUUCCUUGUCGGGUAAGUUCCGACCUGCACGAAUGGCGUAAUGAUGGCCAGGCUGUCUCCACCCGAGACUCAGUGAAAUUGAACUCGCUGUGAAGAUGCAGUGUACCCGCGGCAAGACGGAAAGACCCCGUGAACCUUUACUAUAGCUUGACACUGAACAUUGAGCCUUGAUGUGUAGGAUAGGUGGGAGGCUUUGAAGUGUGGACGCCAGUCUGCAUGGAGCCGACCUUGAAAUACCACCCUUUAAUGUUUGAUGUUCUAACGUGGACCCGUUACCCGGGUUGCGGACAGUGUCUGGUGGGUAGUUUGACUGGGGCGGUCUCCUCCUAAAGAGUAACGGAGGAGCACGAAGGUUGGCUAAUCCUGGUCGGACAUCAGGAGGUUAGUGCAAUGGCAUAAGCCAGCUUGACUGCGAGCGUGACGGCGCGAGCAGGUGCGAAAGCAGGUCAUAGUGAUCCGGUGGUUCUGAAUGGAAGGGCCAUCGCUCAACGGAUAAAAGGUACUCCGGGGAUAACAGGCUGAUACCGCCCAAGAGUUCAUAUCGACGGCGGUGUUUGGCACCUCGAUGUCGGCUCAUCACAUCCUGGGGCUGAAGUAGGUCCCAAGGGUAUGGCUGUUCGCCAUUUAAAGUGGUACGCGAGCUGGGUUUAGAACGUCGUGAGACAGUUCGGUCCCUAUCUGCCGUGGGCGCUGGAGAACUGAGGGGGGCUGCUCCUAGUACGAGAGGACCGGAGUGGACGCAUCACUGGUGUUCGGGUUGUCAUGCCAAUGGCACUGCCCGGUAGCUAAAUGCGGAAGAGAUAAGUGCUGAAAGCAUCUAAGCACGAAACUUGCCCCGAGAUGAGUUCUCCCUGAGACUUUAGGUCUCCUGAAGGAACGUUGAAGACGACGACGUUGAUAGGCCGGG